Molecule: ribosomal RNA, 378 nt
Filed under: Attheya sp. RCC5229
Lineage: Eukaryota; Bacillariophyta; Biddulphiophyceae; Attheyales; Attheyaceae
Description: SSU rRNA
Rfam family: Eukaryotic small subunit ribosomal RNA
Source: RNAcentral
CUUUCCUGUCUCUUGCCAUCCUUGGGUCUAAGCUGUCUGGCAUUUAGUUGUCGGGCAGUGGCUGCCCAUCGUUUACUGUGAAAAAAUUAGAGUGUUCAAAGCAGGCUUAUGCCGUUGAAUAUAUUAGCAUGGAAUAAUAAGAUAGGACCUUGGUACUAUUUUGUUGGUUUGCGCACCGAGGUAAUGAUUAAGAGGGACAGUUGGGGGUAUUCGUAUUCAAUUGUCAGAGGUGAAAUUCUUGGAUUUCUGGAAGACGAACUACUGCGAAAGCAUUUACCAAGGAUGUUUUCAUUAAUCAAGAACGAAAGUUAGGGGAUCGAAGAUGAUUAGAUACCAUCGUAGUCUUAACCAUAAACUAUGCCGACUAGGGAUUUGUGG